AGAGUUUGAUCCUGGCUCAGGACGAACGUGGCGCAGCUAUAAUGCAGUCGAACGCUUCUUUUCCCACCGGAGCUUGCUCCACCGGGAAAAGAGGAGUGGCGAACGGGUGAGUAACACGUGGGUAACCUGCCCAUCAGAAGGGGAUAACACUUGGAAACAGGUGCUAAUACCGUAUAACAAUCGAAACCGCAUGGUUUCGUUUUGAAAGGCGCUUUACGGUGCCGCUGAUGGAUGGACCCGCGGUGCAUUAGCUAGUUGGUGAGGUAACGGCUCACCAAGGCCACGAUACAUAGCCGACCUGAGAGGGUGAUCGGCCACAUUGGGACUGAGACACGGCCCAAACUCCUACGGGAGGCAGCAGUAGGGAAUCUUCGGCAAUGGACGAAAGUCUGACCGAGCAACGCCGCGUGAGUGAAGAAGGUUUUCGGAUCGUAAAACUCUGUUGUUAGAGAAGAACAAGGGUGAGAGUAACUGUUCACCCCUUGACGGUAUCUAACCAGAAAGCCACGGCUAACUACGUGCCAGCAGCCGCGGUAAUACAUAGGUGGCAAGCGUUGUCCGGAUUUAUUGGGCGUAAAGCGAGCGCAGGCGGGUUUUUUAAGUCUUGAUGUGAAAGCCCCGGCUCAACCGGGGAGGGUCAUUGGAAACUGGGAGACUUGAGUGCAGAAGAGGAGAGUGGAAUUCCAUGUGUAGCGGUGAAAUGCGUAGAUAUAUGGAGGAACACC
RNAcentral lists this ribosomal RNA (725 nucleotides) under uncultured Enterococcus sp. RNAcentral's name for it is "bacterial SSU rRNA". It matches the Rfam family "Bacterial small subunit ribosomal RNA", at positions 8 to 710 of the family's 1533-position model. Lineage: Bacteria; Bacillati; Bacillota; Bacilli; Lactobacillales; Enterococcaceae. The record is from RNAcentral.